RNAcentral lists this unclassified non-coding RNA (253 nucleotides) under Patescibacteria group bacterium. RNAcentral's name for it is "contains 16S-23S intergenic spacer region". It matches the Rfam family "Bacterial small subunit ribosomal RNA", at positions 524 to 776 of the family's 1533-position model. The record is from RNAcentral.
UACAGAGACCUCAAGCGUUAUCCGGAUUUAUUGGGCGUAAAGGGUCCGCAGGCGGCCUUAUAAGUCCUAUGUCAAAUUUUCGGGCUCAACCCGGAAACUGCGUAGGAUACUGUAAGGCUAGAGACUGGGAGAGGCACACGGAAUUGUCGGUGUAGGGGUAAAAUCCGUUAAUAUCGACAAGAACACCAAAGGCGAAGGCAGUGUGCUGGAACAGUUCUGACGCUCAGGGACGAAAGCGUGGGUAGCGAAUGGG